RNAcentral lists this ribosomal RNA (497 nucleotides) under uncultured bacterium. RNAcentral describes it as "partial 16S ribosomal RNA". It matches the Rfam family "Bacterial small subunit ribosomal RNA", at positions 28 to 507 of the family's 1533-position model. The record is from RNAcentral.
GAUGAACGCUGGCGGCGUGCCUAAUACAUGCAAGUCGAGCGAACAGACGAGGAGCUUGCUCCUCUGACGUUAGCGGCGGACGGGUGAGUAACAUGUGGAUAACCUACCUAUAAGACUGGGAUAACUUCGGGAAACCGGAGCUAAUACCGGAUAAUAUAUUGAACCGCAUGGUUCAAUAGUGAAAGACGGUUUUGCUGUCACUUAUAGAUGGAUCCGCGCCGCAUUAGCUAGUUGGUAAGGUAACGGCUUACCAAGGCAACGAUGCGUAGCCGACCUGAGAGGGUGAUCGGCCACACUGGAACUGAGACACGGUUCAGACUCCUACGGGAGGCAGCAGUAGGGAAUCUUCCGCAAUGGGCGAAAGCCUGACGGAGCAACGCCGCGUGAGUGAUGAAGGUCUUCGGAUCGUAAAACUCUGUUAUUAGGGAAGAACAAAUGUGUAAGUAACUAUGCACGUCUUGACGGUACCUAAUCAGAAAGCCACGGCUAACUACGUG